GAUCAUGCCUCCUAAAUCACAGGAGUUCAUUUGCAUCACAAUCUAUGAUUUAUUUGGUUUGAUAAGAUUUGUUGGAUGUCUAGUAGUUCUUGCUAGCUUCAAUUUAUUAGUUCUUUAAUUUUCCUUUAAAAUACUUGGUGCAUGUCAAUAUUGUAUUUUGUAGGUAUAUUGUUAUAGGAAUAUCAUUAUAGUUUACUAAGAUUUCUUGAUGCCUUAUUAUAACUUUAAAGUAUAAUUGAAAGCGCAAUUGCCUUCUAUAGUCAAGAGUCUUUGGAUGUAUGAUAUUUAGAACUUUGAAUUUUAAUGUAUAACUAAGGCAAAAUUGACUUCUGCAGUCAAAGUCUUUGAGUUUAUAGUAUUGUCUGGUUUUCUUAUACUGCAAUCACAAUAAUUCAACACGUCUGUAGUCAAGAGUCUUUGGAUGUAUGGUAUUUAGAACUUUGAAGUUUAAUGUAUAACUGAAGGCAAAAUUGACCUCUGCAGUCAAAGUCUUUGAGUUUAUAGUAUUGUCUCGUUUUCUUAUAUGGCAAUCACAAUAAUUGAACAUGUAUGCCGUGAUCCAUGAUGGGGAAGGUGUUAUGAAUGUAAUAGUGAAGAUACUGAAGUAGUUGUAAAAAUGGCAGAAAUCAUUGAAGGGCUACAGGGCUCUCCUCCUGAAGAACAUCCUAAUGGCUAUCCAUAUGUGGGGGGACGACAGAAUGUUGUAGCUUGUGCCAAGCAUUUUGUUGGAGAUGGUGGAACAGAGGGAGGAGUCAAUGAACACAAUACUCUGGCAACCUACUAUGAUCUUUUCUAGAUUCACAUGCGUCCAUACCUGUACUCCUUGGCAAAGGGUGUGUCAACUAUCAUGGCUUCUUACUCUUGCUGGAAUGGAGAAAAAAUGCAUGCAAACCAACACCUUCUAACUAGGAUUUUGAAAGAUGAACAUGGAUUCAAAGUAAGUAAAUAUGACAAAUAGAGUGAUUCAUUUUAUUUAUUUUCUGUAAUAAUAAUUUUAUCACAGAGGAAGAACUCUAAUCAGAACACUACUUCCAUUGGAUUUCCAAAGCAUACCGAUUUUUUUUCUUCUGAUUAAUACAUGGAGCAGGGCCAUUUAAGAAACAUGUCUUUUCUAUUACAAGAAAAUCAUGAAAUACGUUCCCAGACAAUACGCAAGAAAUCUUGAGCUGAUAAUUGGCUUGAUCGUUUUGAGUACAAGGAUUUAUCAUUUCAGAUUGGGAAGGAAUAGAUAGGAUCACCUCACCACCAGGCUCAAACUACUCAUACAAUGUUUGUUCUUCGAUCAAUGCAGGAAUGGACAUGGUGAUUUUAAAUGAUUAAUCAUGUUUCCAUACCACUAUAUUGGUUUUCUUUCCAGUCAGUAAUUUAUUUUAUCUAAUCUUGAAACUAUGUAGGUGAUGGUCCCUUUCAAGUUCAAAAAUUACAUUAGUAACCUUACAAAAUUAGUCAAUUCAGGCCAGAUUUCUAUGAGCAAAAUAGAUGAUUCAAUUAGGAGGAUUCUCAGGGUCAAGUUCAUUGCUGGCUUGUUUGAACAUCCCAAAACAGACAGAUCAUUGUUGGGCAUGGUUGGAAAUCCUAGAAAUAGCCAGAGAAGCGGUUCACAAGUCACUGGUUCUCUUGAAGAAUGGAAACAAGGGUGAGAAACCAUUACUACCUUUAAACAAGAAAACCCAGAAGAUACUAGUAGCAGGCAGUCAUGCAAACAAUCUGGGAUAUCAGUAUGGUGGAUGGACAAUAAACUAGGCAGGCAGUAGUGGAUCCAUGACUGUAGGAACCACUAUUGUGGUAGGGAUCUAGGGUGUUGAUGGUGAUUGUGGACCUAAAUUGGGUCUAGUACUAUCUAGGUUAUGGAUCGACUUAAUGAAACAUGUUGUUAGGACUUCUCGAUGUGCUUACGAGAUGACUUUUGGAUUGGAUGAUAUUUGUUUGGUCUCAGGCCGCCAUGUUUUAUAAUUAUGUAAUCGGUUUUAUUAUUUGGUGGUCGACCUAAUUGUUUAAAGUCGAGGGUUUGUAUAUAUAUGUGUAAGAUCUCUUUGUUGAUCAUGUAAGGGAUAAGGUAAUGCAAGUGAAUAAUGUAAUAAUCAUUCAUGCAGAGGAUUUGGUCGAUCAUAGGUGAUCGAGUUGGGUUUAUGCAAGAGAUUUAAGA
Molecule: long non-coding RNA, 2146 nt
Organism: Cryptomeria japonica (Japanese cedar)
Lineage: Eukaryota; Viridiplantae; Streptophyta; Pinopsida; Cupressales; Cupressaceae
Exons: 4
Source: RefSeq, a predicted model, not a curated record